This 216-nucleotide ribosomal RNA is filed under the name uncultured bacterium. Its description in RNAcentral is "partial 16S ribosomal RNA". The record is from RNAcentral.
GCUCCCUCCGCGCCACUCACGACUCCUACGGACGGCGAGCAGUGGGGGAAGUACGUUGUCGUACGAAAUAGGGGGUCGGAACCCGUACGAGUGCAGCGACGCCGCGUGAGCGAUGAAGCCUUCGGGUGGUAAAGACGUCUUUCGGUCAGGGAAGAUCAUGACGGUACCUGCAGAAGCAGCUGCGGCUAACUACGUGCCAGCCCGCCGCGGUAAUAC